CACAUGCAGUCGAACGGGAUUCAGUAGCUUGCUACUGAUGAGAGUGGCGCACGGGUGAGUAACGCGUAUGCAACCUACCUCUUACAGGGGGAUAGCCCGGAGAAAUCCGGAUUAAUAUCCCAUGGUAUUUAUUCUCCGCAUGGAUAAUAAAUUAAAGAUUUAUCGGUAAGAGAUGGGCAUGCGUGACAUUAGUUUGUUGGUGAGGUAACGGCUCACCAAGACUACGAUGUCUAGGGGUUCUGAGAGGAUGAUCCCCCACACUGGUACUGAGACACGGACCAGACUCCUACGGGAGGCAGCAGUGAGGAAUAUUGGUCAAUGGGCGCAAGCCUGAACCAGCCAUCCCGCGUGAAGGAAGACGGCCCUAUGGGUUGUAAACUUCUUUUCUGCACCAAGAAUUGGCCUUACGUGUAAGGUUUUGACGGUAGUGCAGGAAUAAGCAUCGGCUAACUCCGUGCCAGCAGCCGCGGUAAUACGGAGGAUGCAAGCGUUAUCCGGAUUCAUUGGGUUUAAAGGGUACGUAGGUGGCCCAGUAAGUCAGUGGUGAAAUCCUGCCGCUUAACGGUAGAACUGCCAUUGAUACUGCUGGGCUUGAGUACAGUUGAGGUAGGCGGAAUGUGUAGUGUAGCGGUGAAAUGCUUAGAUAUUACACAGAACCCCGAUUGCGAAGGCAGCUUACUAAACUGUAACUGACACUGAGGUACGAAAGCGUGGGGAGCGAACAGGAUUAGAUACCCUGGUAGUCCACGCCGUAAACGAUGCUCACUCGCUGUAUGCGAUACACAGUAUGCGGCCAAGCGAAAGUAUUAAGUGAGCCACCUGGGGAGUACGUUGGCAACAGUGAAACUCAAAGGAAUUGACGGGGGCCCGCACAAGCGGAGGAACAUGUGGUUUAAUUCGAUGAUACGCGAGGAACCUUACCUGGGCUUAAAUGCAGGACGACAGGCGUCGAAAGAUGCUUUUCUUCGGACGGCU
Molecule: ribosomal RNA, 975 nt
Filed under: bacterium 060620-Aspo-KJ0052F01-A2-AA5
Lineage: Bacteria
Description: bacterial SSU rRNA
Rfam family: Bacterial small subunit ribosomal RNA
Source: RNAcentral